Molecule: long non-coding RNA, 1876 nt
Organism: Toxorhynchites rutilus septentrionalis
Lineage: Eukaryota; Metazoa; Arthropoda; Insecta; Diptera; Culicidae
Exons: 3
Source: RefSeq, a predicted model, not a curated record
ACAACUGUUUAUUUAUUAUACUGCUCCAAAUACCUUCGACGAAAUCAAAUGUAACCAUAUCAACGUAAGUAAUAAUAUAAACAAAUCCAAAUUUUUCGUCUUGCCAUUCCUCCUUGCAUAUUCCUCCAUUUCUAAAUAGUGUAAAUUACGAGCCACCUGUUAACUCAACCAUAUUGCUUCAUGUAAAAACGCUGUUUUGUUAUGAUUCAUUUUACCUAAAUAUUUUUCUUUUUCAGUUUCUAACCGCAUAAAACAAUAACGAAUGUUUUACGCGGGCGUAGAACGAGGAGUUGAUAAGUGAUAAGGAGCGAAAUGUUUUUUCGGCAAACUAAUCAUUGGAGGCUAAAAACGACAGAAAUCCACGUGCAUUGCGAUGAUGACAUUUGACUGAUGCUCUGACUAACGUUUACUUUUUCCCUUCUUCCGUUUUCAACAGAUCACAACCAACCGCAGCAAUGAAUUGCUCCCCUUCGAUCGACCAGGAAGUCCCAGGAAGCUAUGGAUAUCAGUUUGGCAAAUCGUACCGCCAGCAGCGUGAAGCAACUGUUACGCACCGAGCAAUCAUCAGCAAAAAAGAAAAUUACAAUUCGGACAAAAACGACUCGGAUGAGGAGCAGUAGCACCAGCGCAGAUCGUCUGUGCUGUUUCAGUUACACACUGUCCGCAGCCAAAAUUCUCACCAGCUGAUGGACAAUAUGUUCGAAAGUUCGAUAGUUCCAAUCACAUCGCCACAACAAUAAUAACAAUUACAGCGGGAAGCGUCCGCACUCGCUUAUCACGGCUAGCAACAUUCUACAGCAGCUCUUUGUGAUGGCCCUCAGCGACGACUACCAACAGCAGCCCACAAACCCUAUCAUCAAAGCAUGAUUUCCGGAGCAUAUCCGAUCGCUCAACAACAGAAAAUUCGCGUCCGGGGGUUGACAGAGAGUCAUUUUGUGUAUAAAAUUGCUCCAAAGUGAUUUCGUCCGCUUCCUUGCUGGAACCGUCGGCGAAGAUAACGGUACGAACGUGGUGUACGAGAACUAUUUUAGCAGAUCCAAUGUUCCGCUGCUCAAGCGAUGAGGAAGGGCUGGUGGCUUCCGGCUCGGCGUGCAAGAGCGACGACUGCGACACAGAAGAUUCAAAUCAAUCGUCGAUACAACAGAAGAAAAAAUCCACCUGCAACCUAGCGCCAAACCAAGUCAGUUGCCUCUACUGUCAAUGCAUGUUCCCCUCGGACAACUUCAGGAGAUUGCUAUCUCGUCGAAUGAACUGCUCAUGACAGAUUCCGCCGCGAAGGAGUAUUUUACUGACAUUGACCUCCAAGGGAGGAAUGUUAGAAAACAGAAAAGAAAGGUGCCUCGAUUCAAAGCUAUAAUGUGGCCGAGUGAAAAACAUACAACAUACAUGGCUACAAUAACCAGUCCGUGAGUGACCAAACUAAAUGAUUUCGGUACCAUGCAGCUUCCAUCGGGAUUACCAGUGAAAAUAGAAAUCGAGCUAUUCCAUGUGUUAAACGCGAUUGUUGCAUUUGGCAACGUAUUCGCGAUAGGGACACCCGUGAUCAACGUGAGCCACAACAUUAAGAGUAAAGAGCGUACGACAUGCAUUAUCGAGGAUUUGUGUUUCGAUGUCCCAUCCGAGUAUGUACGACGUGGUUACCAAGAUAGAAUGUGCGUAUAUAAUACUGCAUAUUUAGAUACUAGGAUGAUCAUUAUACCGAUAUACGACAUAAUCCAUCAAUGAUAAGAAAAUCAUGUUUUUGCAUUAAGCGAUUUCGGAUACUCAUGAUCAGUGUUGGAAAAAAAUCAUCUUCGCUAAGAUCAAAUGCAUAGUAGAUUUUCGGGCUAGAUUGCAUCGAAAACCUAUAUAUUCCAAACGAAAAUUAAAAUGACAG